UAGCAGAGGGAGGGUCAGUGUGGAGGUCAGUAUGGAGGUCAGUGUAGAGGGUCAGUGUGGAGGUCAGUGUGGAGGACGGUCAGUGUGGAGAUCAGUGUGGAGGGUCAGUGUGGAGGUCAGUGUAGAGGGUCAGUGUGGAGGUCAGUGUAGAGGGUCAGUGUGGAGGGUCAGUGUGGAGGACGGUCAGUGUGGAGGAGGGUCAGUGUGGAGGGUCAGUGUGCAGGGUCAGUG
This is a long non-coding RNA of Boleophthalmus pectinirostris (great blue-spotted mudskipper), 231 nucleotides long. RefSeq lists it as uncharacterized. NCBI's taxonomy places the organism in Eukaryota, Metazoa, Chordata, Actinopteri, Gobiiformes, Gobiidae. The transcript has 3 exons. The record is from RefSeq and is a predicted model, not a curated record.